Wasmannia auropunctata (little fire ant) is the source of this 329-nucleotide long non-coding RNA. RefSeq lists it as uncharacterized. The record is from RefSeq and is a predicted model, not a curated record. Lineage: Eukaryota; Metazoa; Arthropoda; Insecta; Hymenoptera; Formicidae. The transcript has 2 exons.
UGUUCGCUUCCGCAAGCGACAGUAGGCCGCACAGAGCGACGAUGAAGUAAUGCCAGAUACCCCAUCCUGCAUUAAAUUCGCAAAUUUAAAUUAUUGCAGUCUCGCAAUCGUCACUCAUGCCACACGUGACGAUCUUAUCGCAACAGCGAAGAAAAUUCGCCGAAGAUUAGGUUAUUAAAUCAAAUAUCUAAUCUAAAAUGAAGUUCUCUGCAAUUACCAGCUCGAUUCUCUCGCAGAUCUUUAUGUUUAACUAGUAAAAUAUAAAUAGAAUAAGCAUUAGACGCAUGAUUAUGUAAUUUCAUUAAAAUAUAAAUUAAUACUUUUCUUAA